RNAcentral lists this ribosomal RNA (466 nucleotides) under uncultured Pseudomonadota bacterium. Its description in RNAcentral is "bacterial SSU rRNA". It matches the Rfam family "Bacterial small subunit ribosomal RNA", at positions 36 to 497 of the family's 1533-position model. The record is from RNAcentral. Lineage: Bacteria; Pseudomonadati; Pseudomonadota.
CUGGCGGUAGGCUUAACACAUGCAAGUCGUGCGAGAAAGUAUCUUCGGAUACGAGUAGAGCGGCGGACGGGUGAGUAACGCGUAGGAAUCUACCUAGUAGAAGGGGAUAGCCCGGGGAAACUCGGAUUAAUACCGUAUACCUCCUUUGGGAGAAAGAGGGCCUCUCUUUGAAGCUUUCGCUACUAGAUGAGCCUGCGUAAGAUUAGCUUGUUGGUGAGGUAACUGCUCACCAAGGCUACGAUCUUUAGCUGGUCUGAGAGGACGAUCAGCCACAUUGGGACUGAGACACGGCCCAGACUCCUACGGGAGGCAGCAGUGGGGAAUAUUGGACAAUGGGCGCAAGCCUGAUCCAGCCAUACCGCGUGUGUGAAGAAGGCCUUCGGGUUGUAAAGCACUUUAAGCAGGGAGAAAAAGUUGUAAGUUAAUACCUUACAACCGUGAUGUUACCUGCAGAAUAAGCACCGGC